RNAcentral lists this ribosomal RNA (390 nucleotides) under Entyloma sp. RNAcentral's name for it is "partial small subunit ribosomal RNA". It matches the Rfam family "Eukaryotic small subunit ribosomal RNA", at positions 582 to 975 of the family's 1831-position model. Lineage: Eukaryota; Fungi; Basidiomycota; Exobasidiomycetes; Entylomatales; Entylomataceae. The record is from RNAcentral.
AUUCCAGCUCCAAUAGCGUAUAUUAAAGUUGUUGCAGUUAAAAAGCUCGUAGUUGAACUUCAGGCCUGGCCGAUCGGUCCGCUUCACAGCGUGUUACUGCUUGGCCGGGUCUUCCCUCUUGGUGAACCUGCAUGUCAUUCACUUGGUGUGUAUGGGGAACCAGGACUUUUACUUUGAAAAAAUUAGAGUGUUCAAAGCAGGCAUUUGCCCGAAUAUAUUAGCAUGGAAUAAUAAAAUAGGACGUGCGUUUCUAUUUUGUUGGUUUCUAGAAUCGCCGUAAUGAUUAAUAGGGAUAGUUGGGGGCAAUAGUAUUCACAUGCUAGAGGUGAAAUUCUUGGAUUUUGUGAAGACUAACUUCUGCGAAAGCAUUUGCCAAGGAUGUUUUCAUUG